AAAUAGUUGAAAGGUUAUUUUUCAGAUGCAUUUAGAACUUCAAAUUCUAGAACUUCAAAUUCGUCAAGCGAAGAAAUCCUCCACCUGACUUUAGCGGUGUCAUUGUCUUCUCGAAAAUGGUCAAACGAAGACUGGCUCGAGGAUCAGGGAGCCCAAGAGAAUGUUGGAGAAGCUUUGCUAGGUGACCAUGGAGUGACCCUGGUCGUCUAACUGCUACAGUACACUUCAAUCAGAAGACACACCUGCUGAGAAAUCGGUUAAUACCAAAAGUCCCCCACACCCAACCUCAUAUCAAACCAAGCCAACCUAGCAGACAUGUAGAGUGACAACCUGUCGCAGGCCUUUGGGAGUAUCUCCUUACUGUAGGUAGAGGUAAAUGAGCUUCGUGGUGAGGUGACAGUUCUGAGGCAGGAUAAGGAAGUGCUAAGAGAGAAACUGGCAAUGGUCAAGUGCAUCAUGAGGAGAGAGGUAGCUGAGCUACAAAGGGAGUUGUCAGCAGUAAUAGAAUGGCUACAACACAGCGACACAACCAUCCACACUUUUAAGAGAACAACUGGGGCCUACCACAACCCUCACUACCACACCCUCACAUCGACAGUACGACCGCUUCUCAUAGUGAAACUCCAGAACUUCUACAGGCUCAGCGUAAGUAAACAGACCUAAAACAACUCCUCCUCCCACACCAGAACAUUCCCCUCAUAAGAGAGGUCUGACGAGACCUCUUCAAGAUCCUAUCAUCUCAGCCCCAGAGCACCAGUGCCAGCGGAGCCAUGCUGGAAUCCUCAGGAGAGAAGAACACAAUGAAAGGCCACCUGUGGUCCCCACCCCACUCUAUCCGAAGAACAUUACUUCAGACACAGCAGCACACAGGGAGAACACCCUAUGGCCUUCAUUUUAUAUGACACCAAUGGGACAUUUCUCAGAGAGAAACUGCUAUUCCCUGGCAUGUCAGUCAGAAUGCUAUGGUGCCCAAAAGCAGCAAGUGCCUUGAAAAGUCUGUCAAGCAACAAAUGAAAUGGGGCCAAACAUAUUAUAAUUCACACGGGUACUAAUGUUUGAUGGCAAUGAGAGGACAUGUAGCUCCUGCAAUGCAGCAAGUUGCAGCCAGCGCUGCAGGGAGAUUUCCUAACACCAAAAUCUCUAUGUCCACCCUGGUGCUGCGUGGAGAUGUGCCCUUCCACAUUAUUCAGAGCAACAAUGCUGAGCUGUCUAGAGACUGUGCUCUCUUGGGCAAUGUUUACCUAGCGAACCACUGUGACAUUCACCCACAGCUGAACAAACAGGGUGUCGAGGUGUUUGCUAGGAAACUGAAAAAAACUACCCUGGAACAAAGCAAAAACCAAAAUAAGAGGAACUCUGCUAUACAUAUUUUCAAGCA
Molecule: long non-coding RNA, 1378 nt
Organism: Oncorhynchus tshawytscha (Chinook salmon)
Lineage: Eukaryota; Metazoa; Chordata; Actinopteri; Salmoniformes; Salmonidae
Exons: 2
Source: RefSeq, a predicted model, not a curated record